Molecule: ribosomal RNA, 519 nt
Filed under: uncultured eukaryote
Lineage: Eukaryota
Description: SSU rRNA
Rfam family: Eukaryotic small subunit ribosomal RNA
Source: RNAcentral
AGGGCACCACCAGGAGUGGAGCCUGCGGCUUAAUUUGACUCAACACGGGAAAACUCACCCGGCCCGGACACUGGAAGGAUUGACAGAUUGAGAGCUCUUUCUUGAUUCAGUGGGUGGUGGUGCAUGGCCGUUCUUAGUUGGUGGAGUGAUUUGUCUGGUUAAUUCCGAUAACGAACGAGACUCUAGCCUAUUAAAUAGAUCGUUGGCUUACAAACGCCGGCGAGACUUCUUAGAGGGACAGGCGGCGAUUCAGCCGCACGAAACAGAGCAAUAACAGGUCUGUGAUGCCCUUAGAUGUCCGGGGCCGCACGCGCGCUACACUGAAGUGAUCAGCGCGCAUUUUGAAACCUACUCUGUCAAGAGUGGGGAACCCAAUGAACCUUCUUCGUGAUUGGGAUAGGGGAUUGUAAUUAUUCCCCUUGAACGAGGAAUUCCCAGUAAGCGCGAAUCAUAAGUUUGCGCUGAUUACGUCCCUGCCCUUUGUACACACCGCCCGUCGCUACUACCGAUUGAAUGUUU